UUGUGCACAGGCUGUCUAUAAACUUUUCUGCACUUGGAUGGAUGUGUUCCUUUGGGUUAAUGUAAUAUAACGCCAACUAGACGAAGAAGCGUUUAAGGCAGAACAGAAAAUGCAACAGCUGCUCGGCGAGACGGGGCAGCAUGAGUAGGAGAAGCAAGACCAAAGAGAGCGAGCGCUUGCUUGUGAUAAGCAUCGCGAGAACGAGAGAGAGACAGGCGAGACUAGCGAGCGGUACUCUCAGUGGUGUUAUCAUGGCGUUGUUGCAUAUACUUCUGUUUUUGUUUUUGUUUGUGAUUUUGUCUGGCGUAGUAAAAAAUAGCAAUUUGCGCACUAUUUUUAAACGUAUUGCAAA
Scaptodrosophila lebanonensis is the source of this 352-nucleotide long non-coding RNA. RefSeq lists it as uncharacterized. The record is from RefSeq and is a predicted model, not a curated record. The transcript is spliced from 2 exons. Lineage: Eukaryota; Metazoa; Arthropoda; Insecta; Diptera; Drosophilidae.